GAGCUGGGCAUCCAGGAAGAAGCAGCCUCAUUUGUUUUCUGGUGUCAUCGUAGGUGGCCACCUAUGGCUUUUGGGCUUCUCACCUGGGGCGGGUGGGUGCUGCACUACCCUCUCACCCUCCUUCCUCCGUGUGGACGACAGAGCCACAUCCAGCACCACGGACAGCUCCCGGGCGAUCCCAUGGGAGUAGAAGAGGUGUGAGCAGGUUGCCCAGCUGGUUAGCGGAAAUGCCAAGAUUCAGGCUCCUGAAUUUCAGCCUGGCCCUUUUUAUCUGUCUGAUACCUCCUUUAGGAGUCUCUCUGCCUGAGUUGGGUGGAGCGGGCCUGCUGCUGUUUGGGGGAGUGUGCAGGUUGCCCAUAUGCAAAAAAGGACAGGAUGCAUGACUGGGCAUGUGAGGUGUUCAGGAAAACCAGGAAAAGACCAAAAAGAAGAAUGUACUUCAUCCGGUUGGGCUGGAUUCCCUCUGAUAAGCCUUCCCAGUUGACUGAAAGAUGAGGCUAGGCUCUAGCAAGUUAAAGUCGAACCAGCUCCUUCAAGAAGCUUUGAGCAGAAUGAAGUGGGGAGGACCCAGCUUCUGGCCCAGGAAGUCCACUGUACCUGGAGCCAUCUGGGAUAAGACUUUGACCCAUGACUCCCAUAUCCACAACCUGUCCAUCCUGGCCCAUCCCAGUUUAUCCUGUAUCAUUUGAGCUGGGGUUCCCACAUCCUCUGAGAUGGAAGUCCCAUCUCAAGUCUUCAAUAAAGACUCUUGAAUAUUGAAUCACA
This 765-nucleotide small RNA is filed under the name Pongo abelii (Sumatran orangutan). RNAcentral describes it as "processed transcript". The record is from RNAcentral. Lineage: Eukaryota; Metazoa; Chordata; Mammalia; Primates; Hominidae.